RNAcentral lists this ribosomal RNA (252 nucleotides) under uncultured prokaryote. Its description in RNAcentral is "partial 16S ribosomal RNA". It matches the Rfam family "Bacterial small subunit ribosomal RNA", at positions 523 to 774 of the family's 1533-position model. The record is from RNAcentral.
AUACGAAGGGGGCUAGCGUUGUUCGGAAUCACUGGGCGUAAAGGGCGCGUAGGCGGCCGAUCAAGUCGGGGGUGAAAGCCUGUGGCUCAACCACAGAAUGGCCUUCGAUACUGGUUGGCUCGAGACCGGAAGAGGUGAGUGGAACUGCGAGUGUAGAGGUGAAAUUCGUAGAUAUUCGCAAGAACACCAGUGGCGAAGGCGGCUCACUGGUCCGGUUCUGACGCUGAGGCGCGAAAGCGUGGGGAGCAAACA